ACAGAGGGACUGUGAGUCACAGAGGGGGCAGGGAUGGAGAGAGGGCAGGGGAGGGAGGGAGGCCGCGGGAGCUGGAAGGCUGGCGGAAGCUGUGUCACAGCGCGCCCCUGCGCCCACCACCCAGACAAGAGAGAUCUAAGUCAGGCUACAUGACCUUGAACCAUGAACCUUGGCAGGCGUUGGGCAGGAGAUGGAGCUGAGGCCUACCCCAGGCCAGGCCUGGACGUGACAUGCCCACGUGGCGUUGAGGAAAAACCAGUGUUUCCCACCGACUGGAACACAAGGGCAGGAGGCGAAGGCAGGAGAAUCCAGGCGACCCUGGGGCUUUUCUGCUGGGGCACUGUUCCCCCUGUGGCAGGGCCAUCCACAGAGGGGCUGGCGGAAGUGGGAGGACGAGUGCAUUCCACAGAGAUGGGAUUUGAACCUGGGCAUUCUGGCACGGGCCACGCUCUGGACCACUGGGCCCCAGAUCCACAGCUUCUCACCUGCAGCCGCUGAGGAUGUGGAGGCAGACCAGGCAGGCCCGUGGGAAGGACCACCAAAAAGCGAGUGAGCAGCCGGCGAGGGGUCUCUCCCCAACAGGAAGGCCAGGCAGCCUUGAAGGAGCCAGGGAGGGAUUUAGAAGCUCCAGGAGGGGAGGCUUGGGGGAGCCAGCUGGCCUCUCUCCCUCUCCCUGUCCUUCCCCCCAUGCCUACCCCAACACACACACACAUGUCCUUGCUGGCCCCGGAUGAGACAGACGCCUGCAAUCUGGCAUGGGGAAUGGGUUUCUCCUUCCUUUCCACAGAAGAAAAUAAAUCAGGCUGGGCGUCGUGGCUCCCGCCUGUAAUCCCAGCACUUUGGGAGCCUAAGGCAGCAGGAUCACUUGGGCCCAGGAGUUCUAGACCAGCAUGGGCAACAUAGUGAGACCCCCAUCUCUAUAAAAAAAUUUAAAAAUUAGCCAGGCAUGGUGGUGCGAGCCUGUAGUCCCAGCUACUUGGGAGGCUGAAGUGGGAGGAUCGCCUGAGCCUGGGAGUUGGUGCCUGCAGUGAGCCGUGAUGGUGCCAUUGCACUCUAGCCUGGGUGACAGUGCAAGACUCUGUCUUUAAAAAAAAAAGAAAAGAAAGAAAGAAAAAAGAAAAUAAAUCCAUCCACAGGCAGCACCAUUUUCAUAAAUAUGUGUGUAUAUGGCCUGCAUAUGCACCUUCUACGCUUUCUGAGCAGAUAAGAGGCGUGGCUAUGGCAGCCCCUGGUCUGAAGCUGGUGUAACCAGAAAGGAUCUAGGCUGGUUUGGGGAACCGGAACAUCUUAUGUCAGGGGAGUCGUGCUGGAUUUAUCCUGCAAUGGCCGGGUCCCCUCACCAAGGGAUGGGAAGGCAGCGUCAACUGAUCUGGUGUCGUCUCCUUGCUGUGUGCCAGGCUUCUCAAUGCUGGAAGGGGACUCGUUGGGUCAGUGGGACGUGGGCUUCACGUUUGCUGGGCUGAAGACGUAGCUCUCCAUGCUGGCAUCCCAGCGGACACCCCCACUGCCACUGCUGCACCACGUCUUCACGUACACCAGAGAGCAGACUUGAGAGUUUCUGCGCAUACAGUGGGUGUGAAAUGGUGCCCUGCUGGGUUUUGAAUCGGCAUUCCUUGACCACCGGCCAUAUUGCAGCACUUUUCAUUUCUUCUGUCAAAUGCCCGUGCAUGUCUUGGCUUACACUUUGCAGGUGUUCUGUAUUUUCCACACCAAUCCCUGGGGUGUAUGUCUUCGGCCUACCUGUUACUUGUCUUCUCAGUUUGCUGAUGUAUCAUGUGAUAAACAGAAAGUCUUAAUUUUAAUAUCAUAGCAUUUAUCAAUCUGAUUUCUUUUUUUGAGACGGGGUCUCGCUCUGUCGUGCAGGCUGGGGUGCAUUGGCGCAAUCAUGGCUCACUGAAGCCUCCUGGGCUCAAGUGAUCCUCCCACCUUAGCCUCCCAAACACCUGGGACUACAGGCAGGCGCCACAGUGCCUGGCUAAUUUUGUAAUUUUUUUGUAGAGACAGGGUCUCGCUAUGUUGCCCAGGCUGGUCUCAAACUCCUGGACUCAAGCGGCCCUCCCGCCUUGGCUUCCCAAAGUGCUGGCCCGUGAGCCUGUGAGCCACUGCGCCUGGCUACCUUCUUUUGAAUUCCCAUUCAGACUGUGUGUUGCUGGUACAUAGAAAAACAAUGGAUUUCUAUGUAUCAAGUAACCUUGUAAACUCUCAUAUUAAGUCUAAUAAUUAUGUUUGGGUUCUCUUUGUGGAUUCUUUUUGAUUUUCUGCGUACACAAUCCUAUCAUCUGCAAGUAAUGACCAUUUUGUUUCUUCUAUUCCAGUCUUUUUAGCUUUGAUUUCUUUUUUUGAGGCAGAGUCUGGCUCUGUCACCCAGGCUGGAGUAUAGUGGCACAAUCUUGGCUCACUGCAACCUCCGCCUCCCUGGUUCAAGCAGUUCUCCUGCCUCAGCCUCCCAAGAAGCUGGGACUACAGGCACCCACCACCACGCCUGACUAAUUUUUGUAUCUUUACCAGACACAGGGUUUCACCAUGUUGGCCAGGCUGAUCUGGAACUCCUGAUCCACCUGCCUUGGCCUCCCAAAGUGCUAGGAUUACAGGCGUGAGCCACUGUGCCCGGCUGAUUUCGUUUCCUUGCUUUACUUCCCUGGACUUGCUUUCUCUUGCUUUUACUUCCUUUGAAUGAAAGCAUAGGAGGCGCUGGGCAUGGUGGCUCACGCCUGUAAUCCCAGCACUUUGGGAGGCCGAGGUGGGUGGAUCACCUGAGGUCAGGAGUUCGAGACCAGCCUGACCAACAUGGAGAAACUCUGUCUCUACUAAAAAUACAAAAAAAUUAGCCGAGCAUGGUGGCCCAUGCUUGUAAUCCCAGCUACUUGGGAGGCUGAGGCAGGAGACUCGCUUGAACCCAGGAGGCCGAGGUUGCGGUGAGCCAAGAUCGAGCCAUUGCACUCCAGCCUGGGCAACAAAAGCGAAACUCUGUCUCAAAAAAAAAAAAAAAAAAAAAAAAAAAGCAUAGGAGGCAUUCUCAGUGUUCCAUUAUUAAGUAUGAUGUUUGCAGGGAGCAUUCGGUAGAUAUGUUUAUCAGAUUUAGAAAGCUCCCUCCCAUUCCUAGUGUGCUAUAUGUUGAAUUUUUAUAAAAUGCUUUUUCUGAAUGCAUUAAUAUGAUCACAGGGUUUUCCUCCUCUAAUCUGUUAAUGUGGCAAAUUACAUUAAUUCAUUUUUAAAUGUUAAACCACUCUUGUAUUUUCUGGACUAAACUCAACUUUGCGUGAUGUAUUUUUUUCAUAUACAAUUCUGGAUUGGGUGGUUUUUUUUUUUUUUUUUAGCCUCGUAUUAUUAUCCUCGUCUGGUUUUGGUAUCAAGACAUCGUAAAGUGAGUUGAGGCAGUAUUUCCUUUUUCAGCUGUUCACUGGAACAGUUAGUCUAAGAUGGAGAUGAUCAGUUACUUCCAUGUUUGCUGGAGAUCAUCUGUAAAACCAUCUAGGCCUUCCUUGUUUUUUAUUUUCUGUUUUUUGUUUUGUUUCUUUUCUUUUCUCUUCUUUGUUUUUUUUGUUUUGUUUUGUUUUGUUUUGUUGUUGUUUUGAGACAGAGUCUCACUCUGUUGCCCAGGCUGGAGUGCAGUGGUACAGUCUUGGCUUACUGCAACCUCUGCCUCCUGGGUGCAAGCGAUUCUCCUGCCUCAGCCUCCCGAGUAGCUGGGACUGCAGGCAUGCACCACCACGUCCAGCUAAGUUUUGUAUUUUUAGUAGAGACGGUGUUUCGCCAUGUUGGCCAGUCUGGUCUUGAACUCCUGACCUCAGGUGAUCUGCCUGCCUCGGCCUCACAAAGUGCUGGGAUUACAGGCAUGAGCCACCGCAUCUGGCCUGGCCUUCCUUGUUUUUGUAGCUUCCUGCCUGUCCCCCUAUAGAUUUUAAACAAUGAAUCCAACUUCUGUAAUAAUUAUGGGACCAUUUAGGUUUUCUGUUUCUUCUUGAGUAAUUUUUUUAUUGUGGGAAAAAAUACAUAACACAAAAUUUGCCAUCUUUUUUUUUUUUUUUUUUGAGACAGGUCUUGCUCUGUUGCCCAGGCUGGGGUGCAGUGGCAUAAUCAUUGUAACCUCAAACUCCUGGUCUCAAGCAAUUCUCCUGCCUCAGCCUCCUGGGUAGCUGGGACUAUAGGCAUUCACCACCAUGCCCAGCUAAUUUUUAAUUUAAUUUUUUUUUUUGAGACAGAUCUCACUUUGUCACCCAGGCUGGAGUACAGUGGCGUGAUCUCAGCUCACUGCAACCUCUGCCUCCCGGGUUCAAGCAAUUUUUGUGCUUCAGCCUCAAAUUUUUAAUGUUUUUGGUAGAGAUGGGAUCUUGUUACUUUGCCCAGGCUGGUCUCCCAUUCCCAGACUCAAUCAAUCCUCCUACCUUGGCUUCCCAAAGCACUGGGAUUACAGGUGUGAGCCACCAUGCCCAGCCUCCAACUUUAUUCUUUUGCAUGUGGAUAUCAAGUUUCCCCUAUACCAUUUGUUGAAAAGACUGCCCUUUUCCCAAUUUGUAGCCUUGAUACCCUUGUCAAAAAUCAUCUGACCAUAUACUUGAGAGUUUCUUUCUGGGCUCUGGAUUAUAUUCUGUCUCUGUCUUUAUGCCAGGACCACACUGUAAUAUGUUUUAUUUUGUAAAUCAGGAAGUGUGAGUCCUCGAACUUUGUUCUCCUUUUUCAGAAUUGUUUUGGUUAUUUGGAGCCCCUUGAGAUUCUAUCUGAAUUUAGGAUGAAUCAUUCUAUUUUGAGUCAAUUUUUGAUAAACAAUAUUUUUCUAGGAACAUGCUUUUUUUUUUUUUUUUUUAGACAGAAUCUAGCUCUGUCGCCCGGGCUGGAGUGCAGUGGCAUGAUCUUGGCUCACUGCAACCUUUGCCUCCUGGGUUCAAGCAAUCCUCCUGCCUCAGCCUCUCGAGUAGCUGGGAUUACAGGUGCCCGCUACCACGCCCAGCUGAUUUUUGUAUUUUUAGCAGAGACGGAGUUUCACUGUGUUGGCCAGGCUGGUCUUGAACUCCUGACCUCAGGUGAUCCACCUGCGUCGGUCUCCCAAAGUGCUGGGAUUACAAGCGUGAGCCACCGCGCCUGGCUGGAACAUGCCCAUUUUGUUUAAGUUUUCAAGUUUAUUAGCAUAAAGUGUUUUGGUUUUAUUUUAUCAUUGAUUUAUUAUUAAUAAAUGUCUUGGGUCAAAACCAGAUGACGUUGCUUAAUGUUCAUUUAUUGUUAACCUACAAAAAUUGCAGUUUCAUCUUGUUCAAUCUAAUACACACGGAAGAGCAUAUGCUGCUUAGAUGAAUCAUCCCCACUGACAGCCAUCAUGGACCCUUCUUUUUCCCUUCGCAGUUAGUCCUAGCCUUUCCUUGGUUUUCUUUAUACUUGUCCCAAAUAUGAAUUAGCCUUAAACAAUAAAUUAUUUACUUUUGCAACAAA
Molecule: non-coding RNA, 5424 nt
Organism: Homo sapiens (human)
Lineage: Eukaryota; Metazoa; Chordata; Mammalia; Primates; Hominidae
Source: RefSeq, a predicted model, not a curated record